Molecule: ribosomal RNA, 484 nt
Filed under: uncultured bacterium
Lineage: Bacteria
Description: bacterial SSU rRNA
Rfam family: Bacterial small subunit ribosomal RNA
Source: RNAcentral
GGCUCAGAUUGAACGCUGGCGGCAUGCUUUACACAUGCAAGUCGAACGGUAACAGGCCGCAAGGUGCUGACGAGUGGCGAACGGGUGAGUAAUGUAUCGGAACGUGCCCAGUAGUGGGGGAUAACUACUCGAAAGAGUGGCUAAUACCGCAUGAGAACUGAGGUUGAAAGCAGGGGAUCUUCGGACCUUGCGCUAAUAGAUGAGCCUAAGUCGGAUUAGCUAGUUGGUAGGGUAAAGGCCUACCAAGGCGACGAUCCGUAGCGGGUCUGAGAGGAUGAUCCGCCACACUGGGACUGAGACACGGACCAGACUCCUACGGGAGGCAGCAGUGAGGAAUAUUGGUCAAUGGGCGCAAGCCUGAACCAGCCAUGCCGCGUGCAGGAAGACGGUCCUAUGGAUUGUAAACUGCUUUUAUACAGGAAGAAACCCUCCCACGUGUGGGAGCUUGACGGUACUGUAGGAAUAAGGAUCGGCUAACUCCGUG